This 533-nucleotide ribosomal RNA is filed under the name uncultured bacterium. RNAcentral's name for it is "bacterial SSU rRNA". It matches the Rfam family "Bacterial small subunit ribosomal RNA", at positions 271 to 821 of the family's 1533-position model. The record is from RNAcentral.
AGACGAUGAUGGGUAGCCGGCCUGAGAGGGUGAACGGCCACAAGGGGACUGAGACACGGUCCUUACUCCUACGGGAGGCAGCAGAGGGGAAUAUUGGACAAUGGACCAAAGUCUGAUCCAGCAAUUCUGUGUGCACGAUGAAGUUUUUCGGAAUGUAAAGUGCUUUCAGUUGGGAAGAAGAAAGUGACGGUACCAACAGAAGAAGCGACGGCUAAAUACGUGCCAGCAGCCGCGGUAAUACGUAUGUCGCAAGCGUUAUCCGGAUUUAUUGGGCGUAAAGCGCGUCUAGGCGGUUUGGUAAGUCUGAUGUGAAAAUGCGGGGCUCAACUCCGUAUUGCGUUGGAAACUGCCAAACUAGAGUACUGGAGAGGUAGGCGGAACUACAAGUGUAGAGGUGAAAUUCGUAGAUAUUUGUAGGAAUGCCGAUGGGGAAGCCAGCCUACUGGACAGAUACUGACGCUAAAGCGCGAAAGCGUGAGUAGCAAACAGGAUUAGAUACCCGGUGUCCACGCCGUACACGAUGAUUACUAGGU